Molecule: ribosomal RNA, 204 nt
Filed under: uncultured bacterium
Lineage: Bacteria
Description: partial 16S ribosomal RNA
Rfam family: Bacterial small subunit ribosomal RNA
Source: RNAcentral
UGCGCAGGCGGCCGGGUGUGUGAGGCGUGAAAGCCCGAUGCUUAACAUCGGAAUUGCACCUCAAACUACACGGCUAGAGCAUUGGAGAGGGUAGCGGAAUUCACGGUGUAGCAGUGAAAUGCGUAGAUAUCGUGAGGAACACCAGAGGCGAAGGCGGCUACCUGGACAAUUGCUGACGCUGGGCACGAAAGCUGGGAGCAAAAG